This 30-nucleotide non-coding RNA is filed under the name Homo sapiens (human). The record is from RNAcentral. Lineage: Eukaryota; Metazoa; Chordata; Mammalia; Primates; Hominidae.
UACCAAUGGCGCUGAGCAGUCCAAGGUUGC